This 253-nucleotide ribosomal RNA is filed under the name uncultured bacterium. RNAcentral describes it as "partial 16S ribosomal RNA". It matches the Rfam family "Bacterial small subunit ribosomal RNA", at positions 524 to 776 of the family's 1533-position model. The record is from RNAcentral.
UACGGGGGGGGCAAGCGUUGUUCGGAAUUACUGGGCGUAAAGGGCUCGUAGGCGGCCAACUAAGUCGGAUGUGAAAUCCCCAGGCUCAACCUGGGAACUGCAUCCGAUACUGGAUGGCUUGAAUUCGGGAGAGGGAUGCAGAAUUCCAGGUGUAGCGGUGAAAUGCGUAGAUAUCUGGAGGAACACCAAUGGCGAAGGCAGCUUGCUGGGACGGUACUGACGCUGAGGCGCGAAAGCGUGGGGAGCAAACAGG